RNAcentral lists this long non-coding RNA (248 nucleotides) under Helianthus annuus (common sunflower). RNAcentral describes it as "sRNA HanXRQr2_Chr17g0813811". The record is from RNAcentral. Lineage: Eukaryota; Viridiplantae; Streptophyta; Magnoliopsida; Asterales; Asteraceae.
AUGGAGUUUUUAUGGAGAUGCAAGCUUUUUAUCACAAAAACCAUCAUCAAAAACCCAUUUAUAAUCUUGAAAGGACGUAUAAACCAAUUUGAGGGAAUGCGAUAAUAUAAAACGCACCCAAAGGUUGAUGGUUUGUUUGCUGCAAAUGGAUAUGAUGCCUAGAAACCCACAAUAAAAAAUCUAGGUUGUCGGAUUGGAUUAUGUUUGAGAGACUGAAAUCUGUAUGACUUUUUGUGGAAUAUUUGUUU